GACGAACGCUGUUUGCGUGCUUAACACAUGCAAGUCGAACGGAAAGGCCCUGCUUUUGUGGGGUGCUCGAGUGGCGAACGGGUGAGUAACACGUGAGUAACCUGCCCUUGACUUUGGGAUAACUUCAGGAAACUGGGGCUAAUACCGGAUAGGAGCUCCUGCUGCAUGGUGGGGGUUGGAAAGUUUCGGCGGUUGGGGAUGGACUCGCGGCUUAUCAGCUUGUUGGUGGGGUAGUGGCUUACCAAGGCUUUGACGGGUAGCCGGCCUGAGAGGGUGACCGGCCACAUUGGGACUGAGAUACGGCCCAGACUCCUACGGGAGGCAGCAGUGGGGAAUAUUGCACAAUGGGCGGAAGCCUGAUGCAGCAACGCCGCGUGCGGGAUGACGGCCUUCGGGUUGUAAACCGCUUUCGCCUGUGACGAAGCGUGAGUGACGGUAAUGGGUAAAGAAGCACCGGCUAACUACGUGCCAGCAGCCGCGGUGAUACGUAGGGUGCGAGCGUUGUCCGGAUUUAUUGGGCGUAAAGGGCUCGUAGGUGGUUGAUCGCGUCGGAAGUGUAAUCUUGGGGCUUAACCCUGAGCGUGCUUUCGAUACGGGUUGACUUGAGGAAGGUAGGGGAGAAUGGAAUUCCUGGUGGAGCGGUGGAAUGCGCAGAUAUCAGGAGGAACACCAGUGGCGAAGGCGGUUCUCUGGGCCUUUCCUGACGCUGAGGAGCGAAAGCGUGGGGAGCGAACAGGCUUAGAUACCCUGGUAGUCCACGCUGUAAACGGUGGGUACUAGGUGUGGGGUCCAUUCCACGGGUUCCGUGCCGUAGCUAACGCUUUAAGUACCCCGCCUGGGGAGUACGGCCGCAAGGCUAAAACUCAAAGGAAUUGACGGGGCCCCGCAUAAGCGGCGGAGCAUGCGGAUUAAUUCGAUGCAACGCGUAGAACCUUACCUGGGUUUGACAUGGAUCGGGAGUGCUCAGAGAUGGGUGUGCCUCUUUUGGGGUCGGUUCACAGGUGGUGCAUGGCUGUCGUCAGCUCGUGUCGUGAGAUGUUGGGUUAAGUCCCGCAACGAGCGCAACCCUUGUUCACUGUUGCCAGCACGUUAUGGUGGGGACUCAGUGGAGACCGCCGGGGUCAACUCGGAGGAAGGUGGGGAUGACGUCAAGUCAUCAUGCCCCUUAUGUCCAGGGCUUCACGCAUGCUACAAUGGCUGGUACAGAGAGUGGCGAGCCUGUGAGGGUGAGCGAAUCUCGGAAAGCCGGUCUCAGUUCGGAUUGGGGUCUGCAACUCGACCUCAUGAAGUCGGAGUCGCUAGUAAUCGCAGAUCAGCAACGCUGCGGUGAAUACGUUCCCGGG
This 1343-nucleotide ribosomal RNA is filed under the name uncultured bacterium. RNAcentral's name for it is "16S ribosomal RNA". It matches the Rfam family "Bacterial small subunit ribosomal RNA", at positions 28 to 1378 of the family's 1533-position model. The record is from RNAcentral.